CCUACGGGGGGCAGCAGUGGGGAAUAUUGGACAAUGGGGGCAACCCUGAUCCAGCCAUGCCGCGUGUGCGAAGAAGGCCCUCGGGUUGUAAAGCACUUUCAGUGAGGAAGAACGCCUGGUGGUUAAUACCCAUCAGGAAAGACAUCACUCACAGAAGAAGCACCGGCUAACUCCGUGCCAGCAGCCGCGGUAAUACGGAGGGUGCGAGCGUUAAUCGGAAUUACUGGGCGUAAAGCGCGCGUAGGUGGCUUGAUAAGCCGGUUGUGAAAGCCCCGGGCUCAACCUGGGAACGGCAUCCGGAACUGUCAAGCUAGAGUGCAGGAGAGGAAGGUAGAAUUCCCGGUGUAGCGGUGAAAUGCGUAGAGAUCGGGAGGAAUACCAGUGGCGAAGGCGGCCUUCUGGACUGACACUGACACUGAGGUGCGAAAGCGUGGGUAGCAAACAGGAUUAGAUACCCGUGUAGUC
Molecule: ribosomal RNA, 465 nt
Filed under: Vreelandella stevensii
Lineage: Bacteria; Pseudomonadati; Pseudomonadota; Gammaproteobacteria; Oceanospirillales; Halomonadaceae
Description: partial 16S ribosomal RNA
Rfam family: Bacterial small subunit ribosomal RNA
Source: RNAcentral